UCCGUAGGCGGUGCGGCAAGUCGGUAGUGAAAUCUCCGGGCUUAACCCGGAGGCUGCUGCCGAAACUGCCGUGCUAGAGUGCGAGAUAGGCAAGUGGAAUUGCGGGUGUAGCGGUGAAAUGCGUAGAUAUCCGCAGGAACAUCCGAGGCGAAAGCGGCUUGCUGGAUCGCAACUGACGCUGAGGGACGAAAGCUAGGGGAGCAAACAGGAUUAGAUACCCUGGUAGUCCUAGCCCUAAACCAUCAGGACUUGGGGGUUUGUCCCUCGUACGGGGCGAAGUCCCGUACGCUAACGCGUUAAGUCCUCGCGCCGUGGGAGGUACGGUCGCAAGGCUGAA
RNAcentral lists this ribosomal RNA (337 nucleotides) under uncultured bacterium. Its description in RNAcentral is "bacterial SSU rRNA". It matches the Rfam family "Bacterial small subunit ribosomal RNA", at positions 568 to 898 of the family's 1533-position model. The record is from RNAcentral.